Molecule: long non-coding RNA, 1618 nt
Organism: Tympanuchus pallidicinctus (lesser prairie-chicken)
Lineage: Eukaryota; Metazoa; Chordata; Aves; Galliformes; Phasianidae
Exons: 5
Source: RefSeq, a predicted model, not a curated record
CUAGGCUUGUGUUUGCAGAGCUGUAACUGGAAGUAGCAGGGGUCUGAAAUGAAGAAGGUGAAGAGAAGUGGGCUUGGUGUGCUGGCCUUUCCCUGUUAAGGACAAUUACAGGAAGCCAGUGCCUCUCUCAAAUGCAGCAUUGCUGUGGCCAACAUAUCCUUCUUCCAGACAACUGAAUAUGGAAAAGAAUACAAAAGCAGAGCCAGUCAGUCACCCCUGGGUGGUUCUCAGCGUCUGGAUGGAUGAAUGCAGAACUUAAGAGCAGCCAUCUUCGUCCUGUCACCUGUGUGCCUGAGUCAGAGAUAUUUUAAUCACCCGUUCCUGAUGCACUGAUUACAAAUCACAGUGAAAUUGUGAAAUCUGGGGCCCAACAGCAAGCUCCUUGGGUGUGAUGCAAGAAUAUUUGGGAGAGCUGUUUUGCUGUGUAAACCAAGCAGUCAAGUGGGAAGGGAGGGCUUGACUCAGGCUGGAGGCUGUGAAUGCUUUAGGACAUAGUGGGAUGCCACUGUGUAGCAUCUGUUGAGCUACAGCCACUGCAGCUGCUUUAAUGCCUACCCAAGCUCAGUGAAUAGGCUCCAUCAGAACCGAGCAUGUCUCUUUUAUGCCUGCCUCACCCACGUUUUGGCUGGCAAGGGUGUUUGGACUGAUCCAUCAGCACCUCACUGAGGGAUGCACCUCACCUCGGCAGACAGGUGGAGAUUGUGUCAGAUGGGACCAUUCCCUGCCAUAAGCCUCGUGGUACGCUUGAUGCAAGUAAACAGCAUUUGUUGGGAAGUGCAAACGAACUGUCUGGAUGAGGUGCUGGCUCAUACCCAUUGCCUAGCUGCAAGCUGCUGCUCUCCAUCCAGCCCCUCUUGGAGCAAGCAUAAUGCAAAGCAGAUUUAGCUUUCUGUCUCCAUGAAUGUCUGCCUAAGCACCCACUUAGCUGCCAGUCUGGAAAAUGCUGCUGUUGGAGAGGUUACAAUGCAGGGAGCGCAUCCUGAGCCAAAGCGGUGUGCAGGUGAAACAGGGCUGCUGCGCAGAGCUACUGACUGCUCUGGAAAUGAGUUAUUGGUUAGGAAAUGGACUCUGCUUGGAGCUGUGGAGCAAUUUUGUGUUGGUUUUGAAACAAGAUCUGAACAAGCAGAAGCGGCUUCUACCUGAGAAAUGAACAAACAGAGCCUUCAGAAACUCUUGGAAGAAACAAAGACAUUUGAACCAUUUGCACAACACAGAAGCUCUUCAGCAUGAGUCCUUAAAGGGCUGGAGGCUUGCUGGGGAAGCUUUGAGGAGGAGAGUCAUAAAGAACAAAAGGUUUUACGAUGCAAGGUUGAAUGGGAAACUUUUAUUGGAGAGGCUUGGCCAGCUUCUGUCCCAUGGGAGAAAGGCGGAGGAAUCCGAAUGUACUGUUUUCUCUUCUGGAAGGUCAAAGCUGUUGCACACAACGGCAAAGCAGCAUAGGAGAAAUACCCUUUCUCCUCUGUCAUCACUGUCAGAAAUGGAGGAGGGGAAGAAGUCCCACACAUUUCAGCAAAGCCCUGAAGGUAAAAAUGAUCUGUCGGCUUGAAAUUUAUCUUAAUGAGCAAAAUCCAGCCAAUGGAACAGGGUGCAGAUGAAAGUGACAGAUGGAAUCAUUUAA